Molecule: transfer RNA, 77 nt
Filed under: Candidatus Kaiserbacteria bacterium RIFCSPHIGHO2_01_FULL_55_79
Lineage: Bacteria; Candidatus Kaiseribacteriota
Also listed under: 3 other names
Description: tRNA-Asp
Rfam family: tRNA
About the family: Transfer RNA (tRNA) molecules are approximately 80 nucleotides in length. Their secondary structure includes four short double-helical elements and three loops (D, anti-codon, and T loops).
Source: RNAcentral
GCGGGAGUAGCUCAGCUAGUUAGAGCGCCGCCCUGUCACGGCGGAGGUCGCGGGUGCGAAUCCCGUCUCUCGCGCAA